This is a small nucleolar RNA of Lactuca sativa (garden lettuce), 107 nucleotides long. The record is from RefSeq and is a predicted model, not a curated record. Lineage: Eukaryota; Viridiplantae; Streptophyta; Magnoliopsida; Asterales; Asteraceae.
AGAUCUUGUUCAGGACAACUCCUCAGCAAACCCUUGUAUCUCUCUGUCGCUUCAUAUAAGGACUCUCCAACCUUUUGUUAAAAAUUAGCAAUAUUAUUCUUGGGCUU